AUUGAACGCUGGCGGCAUGCCUUACACAUGCAAGUCGAACGGCAGCACGGGUGCUUGCACCUGGUGGCGGGUGGCGAACGGGUGAGUAAUACAUCGGAACGUACCUUAUCGUGGGGGAUAACGCAGCGAAAGCUGUGCUAAUACCGCAUACGCCCUGAGGGGGAAAGCGGGGGAUCGCAAGACCUCGCGCGAUUAGAGCGGCCGAUGCCUGAUUAGCUUGUUGGUGGGGUAAAAGCCCACCAAGGCGACGAUCAGUAGCUGGUCUGAGAGGACGAUCAGCCACACUGGGACUGAGACACGGCCCAGACUCCUACGGGAGGCAGCAGUGGGGAAUUUUGGACAAUGGGGGCAACCCUGAUCCAGCAAUGCCGCGUGAGUGAAGAAGGCUUUCGGGUUGUAAAGCUCUUUUGUCAGGGAAGAAACACCGGCUCUAACACAGUCCGGGAAUGACGGUACCUGAAGAAUAAGCACCGGCUAACUACGUGCCAGCCGCCGCGGUAA
RNAcentral lists this ribosomal RNA (501 nucleotides) under uncultured bacterium. RNAcentral's name for it is "partial 16S ribosomal RNA". It matches the Rfam family "Bacterial small subunit ribosomal RNA", at positions 29 to 523 of the family's 1533-position model. The record is from RNAcentral.